CUUUGGUAAGUAUAAGUUUGUACAGUUACCUUCCAAGUAGAAAGCCUGGCCAGGACCAGACCAAAGA
This 67-nucleotide transfer RNA is filed under the name Dendronotus frondosus (frond-aeolis). Its description in RNAcentral is "tRNA-Gly". Lineage: Eukaryota; Metazoa; Mollusca; Gastropoda; Nudibranchia; Dendronotidae. The record is from RNAcentral.